Long non-coding RNA from Lynx canadensis (Canada lynx), 397 nucleotides. RefSeq lists it as uncharacterized. NCBI's taxonomy places the organism in Eukaryota, Metazoa, Chordata, Mammalia, Carnivora, Felidae. The transcript has 2 exons. The record is from RefSeq and is a predicted model, not a curated record.
CCAAAUGAGCCAUCCAAGCGACCCUCCUCUGACCAAUAAUGAAGUGAAAUUCCAAAAUUCCAAGAUUUUAUGUUUGCAUAUUCCACAUUUAUAAUAAAAGUAGACCACCAUUAAGUAAACUGACAUCAGAACACUGACACAAAAUGGGAUGGUACUUCUUCCUACAUCUGUCUACAUCUACCAGUUUUGGCAAACUGGACCUCAAAAGAGGGACUAGACCUCAAAAAGAAGAAGAAGGAGAAGAAGGAGAAGAAGGAAGGAGAAGAGAAGAGGAAGGAGAAGAAGGAGAAGAAGAAGAAGAAGAAGAAAAGAAAGAAGAGAAGAAGAAAAAGAGAAGAGGAGAAGGAGAAGAAAGACCAGGAAAAACCAUGGAUGCAUGCAGAUUUAUCAUCAUGGG